RNAcentral lists this ribosomal RNA (253 nucleotides) under uncultured bacterium. RNAcentral describes it as "partial 16S ribosomal RNA". It matches the Rfam family "Bacterial small subunit ribosomal RNA", at positions 524 to 776 of the family's 1533-position model. The record is from RNAcentral.
UACGAGUGCCCUAAGCGUUAUCCGGAAUCAUUGGGCGUAAAGGGUGUGUAGGUGGUUGUGUUAGUCUUCUGUUAAAUUCUUCGGCUUAACCGGGGGCAUGCAGGGGAAACGGCACGACUAGAGGAUGCGAGAGGCACAUGGAACUCAUGGAGUAGGGGUGAAAUCCGUUGAUAUCAUGGGGAACACCGAAAGCGAAGGCAAUGUGCUGGCGCACUCCUGACACUGAAACACGAAAGCGUAGGUAGCGAAUGGG